GUUGUCGUCAGCUCGUGUCGUGAGAUGUUGGGUUAAGUCCCGCAACGAGCGCAACCCUUGAACUUAGUUGCCAUCAUUCAGUUGGGCACUCUAAGUUGACUGCCGGUGACAAACCGGAGGAAGGUGGGGAUGACGUCAAAUCAUCAUGCCCCUUAUGAUUUGGGCUACACACGUGCUACAAUGGACAAUACAAAGGGCAGCGAAACCGCGAGGUCAAGCAAAUCCCAUAAAGUUGUUCUCAGUUCGGAUUGUAGUCUGCAACUCGACUACAUGAAGCUGGAAUCGCUAGUAAUCGUAGAUCAGCAUGCUACGGUGAAUACGUUCCCGGGUCUUGUACACACCGCCCGUCACACCACGAGAGUUUGUAACACCCGAAGCCGGUGGAGUAACCAUUUUGGAGCUAGCC
Molecule: ribosomal RNA, 406 nt
Filed under: Staphylococcus pseudintermedius
Lineage: Bacteria; Bacillati; Bacillota; Bacilli; Caryophanales; Staphylococcaceae
Description: bacterial SSU rRNA
Rfam family: Bacterial small subunit ribosomal RNA
Source: RNAcentral